GGCCCAGUGGGGAGGGGGCCAUUCUGACCUGGGCGCGUAUGAGCCUCGGCACCCUUAGGCCCUAGCCGGGUUUAGCUCCCUGAUCACUACGGUACCGCAGGUAUAGGGGAGGUAGUGCAGACUAGGGCUAGGGGGUGGCGAGGCCCUGACGGCCCUGGUCCCAGAGACCGCGUGCCCCUGUUUUUCAUUAACGCUCACACACAGCUCCCCGCGCCACUCGAGAGAUAUGAUCUUGUACCGGAGCCUGUAGCGGAGCUCGCGUAGAUCCUAGCUUUUGCAUUACGUAGCUCUGAUUACGUCUGGUGUGAUGGAUAGCUUAAUCGUAAUUUUAG
Molecule: ribosomal RNA, 332 nt
Filed under: uncultured soil eukaryote
Lineage: Eukaryota
Description: bacterial LSU rRNA
Source: RNAcentral